CUUUCUCUCUCUUAGUUAAUUUGUCUCAAAGGUCAGUUUCAGUUAUCGUUCUUUCUCGGGUUAGUCGAAUUGUUUUCCUUCGGCUUCCCUUGCCUUCAGGCAGGAAAGAUCUCAUCCUUAUUUUGCUUCUCUCGCCUGGCAUGUGGGAUGGCCCUCCCACAGUUGGGUUUGAGUGUAUAUGAGUUUUUUGGGUUAUGCCUAGUUUGGAUAUAUUUGCAGGUCUAUUGGUCAUGGAGCGGACAUCUUUUGAAGAUCUGGUGAUGGGUUUGUUCCUGCAUGUGCUUAUUUGUUCAUCAGUAGGGUGUGGUAUUCUGGAGGCAGCUUAGUUGUUUGGGUUGAUGGGCAACUCUUGGGUCAUCAUUCUUCUUAUGGCUGUCACCCUACCAUAGGAUAUAAAAGAGUGAGAUGCCAUGAGCUCCGCCCUUCAUCUCCUCCUAUGACUGGCGUUGAAGAUGGCAAGGCGAUGUUUGUAAGGCUUUGUGAUCCAACGGUUGGCUGGGGUAGCGGUAGAAGGAGCUUUGUAAUCUUGAAGUUUGUUGUUAGAGUGGUUAUUUCUUCCCUUUUCACUGUCACCAGCUUAGCUUUGGAUCAAGUAGGCAGGCAGCGUUGCAAGAAGGUUAGGCAGAUUGUGUCUUCCAACUGUCAGGGUUGAUUUUAAUUUGCUGGGUUUGAGUUCUAUGUAAUGAUUUGAAUUUGGGUCUCAAAGGCCUUUAUAUGAAGUUUAAU
Molecule: unclassified non-coding RNA, 726 nt
Filed under: Hevea brasiliensis (rubber tree)
Lineage: Eukaryota; Viridiplantae; Streptophyta; Magnoliopsida; Malpighiales; Euphorbiaceae
Source: RNAcentral